Molecule: long non-coding RNA, 747 nt
Organism: Arvicola amphibius (Eurasian water vole)
Lineage: Eukaryota; Metazoa; Chordata; Mammalia; Rodentia; Cricetidae
Exons: 4
Source: RefSeq, a predicted model, not a curated record
CUCUACUCAACAUGGAGGCAUAUUUCCUGCAGCCACGUGGGCAGGGUUGGAGUGUCUGUGUCCUUCCUGUGAUCUCCUUGAUCUUCCUGGACUGCCCUUCCAGCUGUGACUCACCCAUUUACGCAAAGCUGCUAGACUCACCUGCGAGAAGACAUCUCAGAGAAAAUCAAAUGCUCCAUGAAAGAAAUUAAAUCAGAAAAUCAGCACUUUAAAAAUUCCAUUGGAUUUAUGGAUCUAACCAAUCAUCACUAGUGACUACCAACAAAGCAGAAAAGACACCAUCUUAUGGCAAUGAAAAUAUUAUGUGAAGUGAAUACUUAUAAAAAUUUCAAAAUUGAAAUUACCUGAGGAAGGUGUCAGUGAGUUCAUAUCAAGACAUCUUGGGGGGCUGUUUUCAAGUUAUGCAUGUGCAGAUCCUGUAAGUCAUUGUUCCAUUGUGGCAAUGGGAGAGGGACAGCGAUGUUGCAUUCUGAGUACCCACUAUGUAUCUGCAGCAAAUUUCUAAGAGUGAGAUCACCCUUCUAAUGGCAGUUCUGGGCUCUGUUUCUUGGAAUAAAAGAUUCUGUGCUUAAAUAAAUAAAAAUGACUUGCUCCUUCUCCUCCUUGUGGCUUAUUAAAGGAUCAGAGAAAUCUGACAGGGAAGUAUUUAAAACGCAUAACCUGUUAUCUUCUGAUCGUAUUUAUCUUUGCAGUGUUCUCCUUUCUUGCAACUCUCAUCCAUAUCUUUGAUCAGUACAUUGGGGGAAA